This 470-nucleotide long non-coding RNA is filed under the name Rosa chinensis. RNAcentral describes it as "sRNA RchiOBHm_Chr6g0253211". Lineage: Eukaryota; Viridiplantae; Streptophyta; Magnoliopsida; Rosales; Rosaceae. The record is from RNAcentral.
AGAAAAAAAAAUUAUCUGCAACCAGUUCCUCGGACCCACAGCGGCACGCCGACACAUCGAGUCCCUCGAGUCGGGUUCUUCUUCCUGCAGUUCCUUUCAUUAUAGACUUGCAGUCAUCUGCUCAUCUUCUUCCUGCAUCCAAGCUUGCUUUGUUUUCUGAUUUGCUCCAAACGGGAGAUUUGGGACACAGCAAGACAAGAAAGGUUUCAAAGUCUCAGGGGCAGCAUUUUAUGUGGAGCAGAUUGUUGUGUUCUUGUUUAUAAUGUGAAUGUUCUAAGAUCAUUUGAAACACUUCAGAACUGGCAUGAAGAGUUUCUCAUACAGGUAGGUCCAGCUGACACUGAGGCAUUUCCAUUUAUACUACUCGGCAACAAAAUUGAUAUAGAUGGCCGAAAUAGCAGAGCGGUAUGGACAUACAUAAAAUAUAUAGAGGCUGAGGCAUUUCAUCAUCGUUUUUAUGCCCCCCCCCC